Molecule: microRNA, 17 nt
Filed under: Plutella xylostella (diamondback moth)
Lineage: Eukaryota; Metazoa; Arthropoda; Insecta; Lepidoptera; Plutellidae
Description: pxy-miR-8536a
Source: miRBase by way of RNAcentral
AUCCCAGCUAUGUCACU